RNAcentral lists this ribosomal RNA (549 nucleotides) under uncultured Glomus. RNAcentral's name for it is "SSU rRNA". It matches the Rfam family "Eukaryotic small subunit ribosomal RNA", at positions 548 to 1098 of the family's 1831-position model. The record is from RNAcentral. Lineage: Eukaryota; Fungi; Glomeromycota; Glomeromycetes; Glomerales; Glomeraceae.
UUGGAGGGCAAGUCUGGUGCCAGCAGCCGCGGUAAUUCCAGCUCCAAUAGCGUAUAUUAAAGUUGUUGCAGUUAAGAAGCUCGUAGUUGAAUUUCGGGGUUAGUAGGCUGGUCGUGCCACAGGUAUGCACUGGUCUUACUGAUUCCUCCUUCCUGAUGAACCGUAAUGCCAUUAAUUUGGUGUUGCGGGGAGUCUGGACUGUUACUUUGAAAAAAUUAGAGUGUUUAAAGCAGGCUAACGCUUGAAUACAUUAGCAUGGAAUAACGAAAUAGGACGUUCGAUCUUAUUUUGUUGGUUUCUAGGAUUGACGUAAUGAUUAAUAGGGAUAGUUGGGGGCAUUAGUAUUCAAUUGUCAGAGGUGAAAUUCUUGGAUUUAUUGAAGACUAACUACUGCGAAAGCAUUUGCCAAGGAUGUUUUCAUUAAUCAAGAACGAAAGUUAGGGGAUCGAAGACGAUCAGAUACCGUCGUAGUCUUAACCAUAAACUAUGCCGACUAGGGAUCGGAUGAUGUUAAUUUUAUAAUGACUCAUUCGGCGCCUUACGGGAAAC